ACCGGCGGGAGGAGGGCCCGCAGCUGGCCAACUCGGCCGGCUGGCGAGGCCACCCCGGACAGACUCCGGCCUCGCGGGCUGCAGAAGCGCGUCCCGGGGCUGCCCUCCUACUCCAUGGUUCGCGCCGGGGGGACCCAGGGCUGAGCUGGGGCUGGACCGCGCCGAGUGCACCGAGCGAGCUGGGAGCGCAGACGAGUGUACUAAAGAGGAUUUAAAAAUAUGUGAGUUCAUCCAGACUGGAGUGUGUGUCUUGUGUUAUUGCCAUCAAGUGUUUCGAGACAUGGAAAAGAAAGUUUAGGAGCCCCGAAGAGUCCAGCUAUCUAGGAAAGACACUCAAAUCGUGUUUUCUAAUGAAAACUCUCAAAAGACAACCUUAAGAAGAAAAUUUCAGUCUCUGAUACUCCUGUCUGAGAAGGACUUUGAUUGGAAAAAGCAGCAUCACCUGCAGAGGUGCAAGGAUCCUCCCAAGAAGGACAGUCAUUUUAGUAUCUAUUGAUGGAUCUUUCUGCAACAAUGAUUACCGUGGGACUUAAAUGUCUUGUGAAAAGUUACAUGCCAUUUUCCUGAAGCAGUGAAUGACUACUGGAGAAGAGUAAAAUGUGUGUAAAUAGACUGGAAAUUUGAAGAGGAAAGGAGGCAAUGUUCAAGCAAAAAAACAAUGACCAAUGGGGAGAGGAGAGCAUAUGGCACCCUAUAAGUUAUAUUUCCAUCCUAUCUUGGUGUUCCAGAGAAGUGCUUCUGUAAGAAGCAGCAGGCAACUUCCAGACCUCCUAGCACCUAACUUCAAGACCUUAUUAUCUCCCAUGGAUAAGAUUUCCCAUGCAAGGAUCUGAAUCUACUAGCCAAUGACUCAGGAUUCUAAGACUUGAAGUCAUAUCUUUAAAAGACCCAGGGUGCUGUUCAGAGUGGAGCAAAACCAUAUACCUAUCUGUAUACCAAUCUUAUCUGCAAGUAAAGUAUAUAAAUCAAGAUGAGGCAGUUGUCUAUAAUAAAAUAGACUGCAUUUUAAUUUAUAAACCACCCACAUUUUAUUAGCAUUAGUAAAUUCCUUUGAUAGACACACAGCUUUUGUCUUUGGUUACUGGAGGUGUUUUACAUAAAGAACUCUUUGGUCAGAUCUAUUGAGGUGUUUUACAUGAAGAACUCUUUGGUCAGAUCUAUUGAGAAUUAUGCUGUGGGUGGUCUGCAGCUUCAAAAUGUCAUGGUUCACAGGUGUUUUGUGCAUUACACUCUCUUUAUAUUUAAGAGAAACUUCAGAGGCACUGAAAUUACAUUAGGAUCUCCUUGUUCACACAGCAAACCCCUUUAAUUCCCUACCAAGCAACAAUCCAUGGUUUCCAGAGCACUGGUAAAUAUUCCACCAAAUGCAGAGCUAGAAGGAACCAAGACCUAAUUCUGGAUUUUCCACAGAUGUGCAAGAUGAGAAAAUGUCACAUCUUCCAGAUGCCUUCAUUUUAUUAAGAAUACCAGUUUUAAAAAUGGGAGUUCAUAACCCACUUGAAUCAAAGUGUGAAAUAUGAUAUAUCAAGAACUAUGUAAUGUUUUGAACAACCAACAAUUAAAAAAAAAGAUGGAAAAAAAAGAAUACCAGUUUUGUACAUGUAUGAAGACUUGAAUGGGUGUCAACAUACUUUGUGUACAGAGACAUGAAAAAUUGUGGUAUAUAAGUGUAUGAAGAAUUGUAAUGCAAAAAAAAACAAAGUACAUAUAAAGACAUAAAUUGGCGUGAACAUACUUUAUAUAAAGAGAUACGAAAAACUGUGCUCUAUAUGUGUAAUAAGGAUUGUAAUGCAUUCCACUGCG
This is a long non-coding RNA of Marmota monax (woodchuck), 1803 nucleotides long. RefSeq lists it as uncharacterized. The transcript has 4 exons. NCBI's taxonomy places the organism in Eukaryota, Metazoa, Chordata, Mammalia, Rodentia, Sciuridae. The record is from RefSeq and is a predicted model, not a curated record.